UACGGAAGGUGCAAGCGUUAUCCGGAAUCACUGGGUUUAAAGGGUGCGGAGGCGGCUUGAUAAGUCAGGGGUGAAAGCCCGCAGCUUAACUGCGGAACUGCCUUUGAUACUGUCGAGCUUGAAAGAGGUUGAGGUCAGCGGAACGUGACAUGUAGCGGUGAAAUGCAUAGAUAUGUCACAGAACACCGAUUGCGAAGGUAGAUGGCGGGACCUACUGUGACGCUCAGGCACGAAAGCGUGGGGAGCGAACAGG
RNAcentral lists this ribosomal RNA (253 nucleotides) under uncultured bacterium. RNAcentral's name for it is "partial 16S ribosomal RNA". It matches the Rfam family "Bacterial small subunit ribosomal RNA", at positions 524 to 776 of the family's 1533-position model. The record is from RNAcentral.